AUGCCCUGGAUGUGCAUGAACCAAAUACUUUGCCGCCAUCAACCAAGAUUUGUUCGAAUAGGGUGGCGUUAUGGUGGUUAGGUUAGUUAGAGAUUUUGUUAGAGGUUGAAGGAGGUUAGGUUGGUUCAGAAUUGGUUUUUCGAAGGAGGUUGCAAGUUCUGUUUUGUUUUUCCAUUGGAGGGAACUGUGAGGUUCUUUAAAGGGUGAUUCCAAUGAAGGGUGAUUGGAGUUUUUCGGAGUGUGGAAUCUACUAGGUUAUUAUCAGUUUCUGGAAGUUGUUAGCAGGGUGGUUAGAGAGGUUCUCCCUUAUGGAGGUUAGGCUAGAGUUGUUAUGGAAGGUGGUUCAGUGGGAAAGAAAAAUCUGUUAGAAGGUUGGAGGGUUUUUUAUUCUACAGAGUGGUUAUUUGCUGUUAGUAGUUGUGGAGAGAACAUCCAGAAGUUCUGUUAUGUAUUGUUAUGGAAGGUUCCAAGGGUUUGAAGAAGUUGGAGCCAUGAGUUCUCAGUUAUGCAGGAAGUUAGACAUUCUAUUAUGAGUUCUUGGAAUGGUUUCAUUUAGUUGGUUUUUUGAGGGAGGUUUUGAGAGAGAUUGAAGAGAGUUUUCACUCAUUUCUGUUAGAAUGUUUAUGACAGUUAGAGGGAAUUUAUUGGUUCAGUUUGUAACAGUGAAUCAAAUGGCAAUGAAGUAGCUAAUGAGUUGUUCAGAAUUUCCUAAUCCCCUCUCCCAAUUGCUGUUAUGAUUCUGUUUCCAUUCCAUUUUUCCUUUGGUUUGGUUUUGACUCACUUUUCCAUCUAAUUUGCAGAUUGAAUUUUGUCCUUGUAACAAAAUGAUGCAGGGUUGUGCGUUUUGUGAAGGCUUCCAAUUUAGUGUGUUCUACAAGCUUGCAAGCGGACACUUGGCUUGGAGUUCUUCGGAUCAUUGCAUUGGCUUGUUCGGAAUUUUGCUCAUGUUGUAUUGUUGUAAUGUAUUGGAAACUUGAUUGGAAUUGGAAAUAACGUGAAUGUAAUUGGAAUAUGAUUUGAAAAUGUAAGGAUUUGUGAUUGAGAUAUUGGCUUGUAAUGUGUAAUGUACAUGGUUUGAAAGUGUUCGUAAUUUGAAAUUGGCUUAUUUGCACAUGAAAGUAUUGUAGAAUGUGGUUUGAAAAUAUGUAUGAACUUGAUUUAAAAAUGGAUUCUAAGAAAUUGCCUUGGAA
This 1190-nucleotide long non-coding RNA is filed under the name Lathyrus oleraceus (garden pea). Its description in RNAcentral is "Pisum sativum (pea) long non-coding RNA (PSAT_LNC005548)". Lineage: Eukaryota; Viridiplantae; Streptophyta; Magnoliopsida; Fabales; Fabaceae. The record is from RNAcentral.